GGACGCUCCGCCGGUUUCGGCCGGCGGGGAGUGGCGCACGGGUGAGUAGCGCGUGGGAACCUGUCCUUUUGUGGGGGAUAACCGAGGGAAACUUCGGCUAAUACCGCAUGCGCCCCCGGAGUGAUCCGGGGGGAAAGAUUUAUCGCAGAGGGAGGGGCCCGCGUCGGAUUAGGUUGUUGGUGGGGUAACGGCCUACCAAGCCGAUGAUCCGUAGCUGGUCUGAGAGGAUGAUCAGCCACACUGGGACUGAGACACGGCCCAGACUCCUACGGGAGGCAGCAGUGGGGAAUAUUGGACAAUGGGCGCAAGCCUGAUCCAGCCAUGCCGCGUGAGUGAUGAAGGCCCUAGGGUUGUAAAGCUCUUUUGUGCGGGAAGAUAAUGACGGUACCGCAAGAAUAAGCCCCGGCUAACUUCGUG
RNAcentral lists this ribosomal RNA (417 nucleotides) under uncultured bacterium. Its description in RNAcentral is "bacterial SSU rRNA". It matches the Rfam family "Bacterial small subunit ribosomal RNA", at positions 64 to 507 of the family's 1533-position model. The record is from RNAcentral.